Molecule: ribosomal RNA, 429 nt
Filed under: Chloroflexota bacterium
Lineage: Bacteria; Bacillati; Chloroflexota
Description: Chloroflexi bacterium partial 16S ribosomal RNA
Rfam family: Bacterial small subunit ribosomal RNA
Source: RNAcentral
UGGGGAAUAUUGCACAAUGGGCGCAAGCCUGAUGCAGCCAUGCCGCGUGUGUGAAGAAGGCCUUCGGGUUGUAAAGCACUUUCAGCGGGGAGGAAGGCGUUAAGGUUAAUAACCUUGGCGAUUGACGUUACCCGCAGAAGAAGCACCGGCUAACUCCGUGCCAGCAGCCGCGGUAAUACGGAGGGUGCAAGCGUUAAUCGGAAUUACUGGGCGUAAAGCGCACGCAGGCGGUCUGUCAAGUCGGAUGUGAAAUCCCCGGGCUCAACCUGGGAACUGCAUUCGAAACUGGCAGGCUAGAGUCUUGUAGAGGGGGGUAGAAUUACAGGUGUAGCGGUGAAAUGCGUAGAGAUCUGGAGGAAUACCGGUGGCGAAGGCGGCCCCCUGGACAAAGACUGACGCUCAGGUGCGAAAGCGUGGGGAGCAAACAGG